Molecule: ribosomal RNA, 208 nt
Filed under: uncultured bacterium
Lineage: Bacteria
Description: partial 16S ribosomal RNA
Rfam family: Bacterial small subunit ribosomal RNA
Source: RNAcentral
UGUGUAGGCGGUUUUCUAAGUUUGGUGUGAAAUCUCCCGGCUUAACCGGGAGGGUGCGCCGAAAACUGGGAGACUAGAGUGCGGGAUGGGAGAGUAGAAUUCCUGGUGUAGCGGUGAAAUGCGUAGAUAUCAGGAGGAAUACCGGUGGUGCAGACGGCUCUCUGGACCGCAACUGACGCUGAGACACGAAAGCGUGGGUAAGCAAACA